GACGAACGCUGGCGGCGUGCCUAACACAUGCAAGUCGAGCGAAUGAAGUUCCUUCGGGAACGGAUUUAGCGGCGGACGGGUGAGUAACACGUGGGCAACCUACCUCAUAGAGGGGAAUAGCCUUCCGAAAGGGAGAUUAAUACCGCAUAAGAUUGUAGUACCGCAUGGUACAGCAAUUAAAGGAGCAAUCCGCUAUGAGAUGGGCCCGCGGCGCAUUAGCUAGUUGGUGAGGUAACGGCUCACCAAGGCGACGAUGCGUAGCCGACCUGAGAGGGUGAUCGGCCACACUGGGACUGAGACACGGCCCAGACUCCGUUAGGAGGCAGCAGUGAGGAAUAUUGGACAAUGAGCGAAAGCUUGAUCCAGCAAUGUCACAAAAAGGAAGACGGCUAAU
RNAcentral lists this ribosomal RNA (394 nucleotides) under uncultured bacterium. Its description in RNAcentral is "bacterial SSU rRNA". It matches the Rfam family "Bacterial small subunit ribosomal RNA", at positions 28 to 419 of the family's 1533-position model. The record is from RNAcentral.